Molecule: unclassified non-coding RNA, 291 nt
Filed under: Hevea brasiliensis (rubber tree)
Lineage: Eukaryota; Viridiplantae; Streptophyta; Magnoliopsida; Malpighiales; Euphorbiaceae
Source: RNAcentral
CUUCAAUCGAUCAUCUCUCUUCCUCAAGGUUGGGCUACUGUGAUAAGUUUCACGUAGAUAAAUUUUUGGAAGAUCUUGGUACUGCUGGGCAGGGUGGGAAAAAAUUGGUGAAGACAUUAAUGUAUUUUGAGGGCUGCCCAAAGCCAUUGGGUUUUACUAUUUUACUUAGAGGUGCUAAUGGGGAUGAGUUGAAGAAAGUGAAACAUGUGGUCCAAUAUGGAGUUUUUGCAGCAUAUCACCUGGCUUUGGAGACGUCUUUUCUUGCUGAUGAAGGAGCGUCUCUACCAGAAC